RNAcentral lists this ribosomal RNA (497 nucleotides) under uncultured bacterium. Its description in RNAcentral is "partial 16S ribosomal RNA". It matches the Rfam family "Bacterial small subunit ribosomal RNA", at positions 28 to 507 of the family's 1533-position model. The record is from RNAcentral.
GACGAACGCUGGCGGCGUGCCUAAUACAUGCAAGUAGAACGCUGAAGAGAGGAGCUUGCUCUUCUUGGAUGAGUUGCGCACGGGUGAGUAACGCGUAGGUAACCUGCCUUGUAGCGGGGGAUAACUAUUGGAAACGAUAGCUAAUACCGCAUAACAAUGGAUGACACAUGUCAUUUAUUUGAAAGGGGCAAUUGCUCCACUACAAGAUGGACCUGCGUUGUAUUAGCUAGUAGGUGAGGUUAUGGCUCACCUAGGCGACGAUACAUAGCCGACCUGAGAGGGUGAUCGGCCACACUGGGACGGAGACACGGCCCAGACGCCUACGGGAGGCAGCAGUAGGGAAGCUUCGGCAAUGGGGGCAACCCUGACCGAGCAACGCCGCGUGGGUGAAGAAGGAUUUCGGAUCGUAAAGCUCUGUUGUAAGUCAAGAACGGGUGUGAGAGUGGAAAGUUCACACUGUGACGGUAGCUUACCAGAAAGGGACGGCUAACUACGUG